This 1410-nucleotide long non-coding RNA is filed under the name Gallus gallus (chicken). RNAcentral's name for it is "lncRNA (ENSGALG00010000132.1)". The record is from RNAcentral. Lineage: Eukaryota; Metazoa; Chordata; Aves; Galliformes; Phasianidae.
GGCAGAGCUUGAGGGAGGGGGAGUGGCCUACGAGUGGAGGGGGCGGGGUUUGAGUGAGGGGCGUGGCCUGAAAGCGAGGGGCGGGGCUUGAGAGUGGGGCGGGGCUUGAGAGAAGGGGUGUGGCCUAUGAGUGGGUUAGGGUUAAAGGUUAAGGGUUAAGGUUAUGGGGUUGGGUUGGGGUUAAAGGUUAUGGGGUUGGGUUGGGGUUAAAGGUUAAGGGUUAGGGUUAUGGGGUUGGGUUAGGGUUAAAGAUUAUGGGGUUGGGUUGGCGUAAAAGGAUUUGGGUUAGGGUUAUGGGGUUGGGUUAGGGUUAAAGGUUAUGGGUUAAGGUUAUGGGGUUGGGUUCGAGUUAAGGUUUAUGGGGUUGGUUUGGGGUUAAAGGUUAUGGGUUAAGGUUAUGGGCUUGGGUUGGGGUUAAAGGUUAUGGGUUAGGGUUAGAGGUGAUGGGAUAGGGUUAUGGGGUUGGGUUGGAGUUAAAGGUUAUGGGUUAGGGUUAUGGGGUUGGGUUUGGGUUAAGGGUUAUGGGGUUGGGUUGGGGUUAAAGGUUAAGGGUUAACGUUAUUGGGUUGGGUUGGGGUUAAAGGUUAUGGGAUAGGGUUAGAGGUGAUGGGAUAGGGUUAUGGGGUUGGGUUAGGGUUAAAGGUUAUGGGUUAGGGUUAUGGGGUUGGGUUUGGGUUAAGGGUUAUGGGGUUGGGUUGGGGUUAAGGGUUAUGGGUUAGGGUUAUGGGGUUGGGUUCGGGUUAAGGGUUAUGGGGUUGGGUUGGGGUUAAAGAUUAUGGGGUUGGGUUGGGGUAAAAGGAUUUGGGUUAGGGUUAUGGGGUUGGGUUAGGGUUAAAGGUUAUGGGUUAAUGUUAUGGGGUUCGGUUCGAGUUAAGGUUUAUGGGGUUCGGUUUGGGUUAAGGGUAAUGGGGUUGGGUUGCGGUUAAAGGUUAUGGGAUAGGGUUAUGGGGAUUAAAGGCUAAGGGUUAAGGGUUAUAGUUACGGGGCGGGUGUUAACGGUCAAAGGUUAUGGGGUUGGGGUUAAAGGUUAUGGGUUAGGGUUAAAGGUUAUGGGUUUGGUUUAUGGGUUACGGGGUUGCGUUGGGGUUAAAGGUGAAGGGUUAAAGAUAUGGGCUGGGUUAAAGGUUAAGGAUUAAAGGUUAAGGGUUACGAUUACGGGGCGGGGGUUAAAGGUCAAAGGUUAUGGGGUUAUGGGGUUGGGGUCUGGAGGGGACGGAGCUCAAUGGGGCGGGGAAGAGGUGGGCGGGGCCACAGCGCCCUCCUAAAUGAAUUGCCAGGUUUUAACGAAUGCAUUAAUGAAUAAACGGGUUCACCCAGCUGUUGAGUCGUUAAUCGGUUACUAAUGAGGGGGCGGGGCUUCAAAAUGGGGCGGGGUUUGUGGGCUGGGAUGGGGGGGUGGGGUUGCAGCCC